RNAcentral lists this ribosomal RNA (465 nucleotides) under Vreelandella stevensii. Its description in RNAcentral is "partial 16S ribosomal RNA". It matches the Rfam family "Bacterial small subunit ribosomal RNA", at positions 338 to 795 of the family's 1533-position model. Lineage: Bacteria; Pseudomonadati; Pseudomonadota; Gammaproteobacteria; Oceanospirillales; Halomonadaceae. The record is from RNAcentral.
CCUACGGGUGGCUGCAGUGGGGAAUAUUGGACAAUGGGGGGAACCCUGAUCCAGCCAUGCCGCGUGUGUGAAGAAGGCCCUCGGGUUGUAAAGCACUUUCAGUGAGGAAGAACGCCUGGUGGUUAAUACCCAUCAGGAAAGACAUCACUCACAGAAGAAGCACCGGCUAACUCCGUGCCAGCAGCCGCGGUAAUACGGAGGGUGCGAGCGUUAAUCGGAAUUACUGGGCGUAAAGCGCGCGUAGGUGGCUUGAUAAGCUGGUUGUGAAAGCCCCGGGCUCAACCUGGGAACGGCAUCCGGAACUGUCAAGCUAGAGUGCAGGAGAGGAAGGUAGAAUUCCCGGUGUAGCGGUGAAAGGCGUAGAGAUCGGGAGGAAUACCAGUGGCGAAGGCGGCCUUCUGGACUGACACUGACACUGAGGUGCGAAAGCGUGGGUAGCAAACAGGAUUAGAUACCCGUGUAGUC